CAAAGUAUGACAUGCAGUAUGUAGUGAAAGUGCUAUAGCGAAAAAUAAACCAAGGGAGGGAUGGUGUAAGAUGUACAAGGUUUGUGAGGUGAAGACAUUGCAGGUAGAGGAAACAUCAGGUGCAAAUAUCCUAAAAACCAGCAAGAAGAGCAGUGUUUGAAACAGAGAAAUACAGAAAGUGGAGGACAUAAUGUCAGAAAGGCAGUGAAACACACUUGUGUUGACAAUCAAACAAAAAGAUUAUCUCGUGAGCAUUUAAAACCAGUCUUGUCUUCAUGGAGAUUUGAGAUCAUACAUUUUAACGUAGAAGAAAAUAUAUCUUCGUAUCAUGUGUUGUAAAUUUGGGCUCAGUUUUAAGAAGUCCUUUCCCACUCUAAGGCCACAAAAUGAUUUGGCCAGAUCCUCUCAAGAUGAAAGAUGAAAGGUGUGCCUGAUUUCAAAAAUUAAAGAACUAUGCCUGAAAGCGGU
Molecule: long non-coding RNA, 468 nt
Filed under: Equus caballus (horse)
Lineage: Eukaryota; Metazoa; Chordata; Mammalia; Perissodactyla; Equidae
Description: lncRNA (ENSECAG00000046227.1)
Source: RNAcentral